RNAcentral lists this small RNA (114 nucleotides) under Marmota monax (woodchuck). Lineage: Eukaryota; Metazoa; Chordata; Mammalia; Rodentia; Sciuridae. The record is from RNAcentral.
UCUGGGUGCUUUGGCACACAUCUAUAAUCCCAGCAACUCAGGAAGAGGAGGCAGGAGGAUCACUUGAGCCCAGGAGUUCAAGGCCAUCCUGGGUAUUAUAGUGAGAUCUUGUAA